This 491-nucleotide ribosomal RNA is filed under the name uncultured bacterium. RNAcentral's name for it is "partial 16S ribosomal RNA". It matches the Rfam family "Bacterial small subunit ribosomal RNA", at positions 29 to 507 of the family's 1533-position model. The record is from RNAcentral.
GUGAACGCUGGCGGUAGGCCUAACACAUGCAAGUCGAACGGCAGCACAGUAAGAUCUUGCUCUUACGGGUGGCGAGUGGCGGACGGGUGAGGAAUACAUCGGAAUCUACUUUUUCGUGGGGGAUAACGGAGGGACACUUACGCUAAUACCGCAUACGACCUACGGGUGAAAGCAGGGGAUCUUCGGACCUUGCGCGAUUGAAUGAGCCGAUGUCGGAUUAGCUAGUUGGCGGGGUAAAGGCCCACCAAGGCGACGAUCCGUAGCUGGUCUGAGAGGAUGAUCAGCCACACUGGAACUGAGACACGGUCCAGACUCCUACGGGAGGCAGCAGUGGGGAAUAUUGGACAAUGGGCGCAAGCCUGAUCCAGCCAUACCGCGUGGGUGAAGAAGGCCUUCGGGUUGUAAAGCCCUUCUGUUGGGAAAGAAAAGCAGCAGGUGAAUACCCCGCUGUUCUGACGGUACCCAAAGAAUAAGCACCGGCUAACUUCGUG